Molecule: unclassified non-coding RNA, 293 nt
Organism: Fukomys damarensis (Damara mole-rat)
Lineage: Eukaryota; Metazoa; Chordata; Mammalia; Rodentia; Bathyergidae
Gene: 7SK
Rfam family: 7SK RNA
About the family: 7SK was discovered as an abundant small nuclear RNA in the mid-70s but a possible function has only recently been suggested.
Source: Ensembl
GGAUGUGAGGGUGAUCUGGCUAGGACAUGUCACCUCAUUGAUUGCCAGCUGGUUUGGCUGGCUAGUCAGGUGUACACUUCCUCUCGCACUGCUGCAUGUGCAUCCCUCCUGAAGCUGCAAACUUGGUCUAAAGAGGAUGACCACCCCCCAUAGAAGAGGACAGUUUCCUCAGUCAAAGGUAAGAGAGUAGCUGCACUCUCCUGCUCAAACAUCCAAAUAAGCUCUCAAGUUGAUUAGGCAGCAGUAGUAGGGAUGAGAAGGAUUAUAGAAACAUGUAGGAAGAAUAAUUACUU